This 861-nucleotide ribosomal RNA is filed under the name Enterococcus sp. h50-7-u8f. Its description in RNAcentral is "bacterial SSU rRNA". It matches the Rfam family "Bacterial small subunit ribosomal RNA", at positions 62 to 894 of the family's 1533-position model. The record is from RNAcentral. Lineage: Bacteria; Bacillati; Bacillota; Bacilli; Lactobacillales; Enterococcaceae.
UCGAACGGUUUUUCUUUCACCGGAGCUUGCUCCACCGAAGGAAAAAGAGUGGCGAACGGGUGAGUAACACGUGGGUAACCUGCCCAUCAGAAGGGGAUAACACUUGGAAACAGGUGCUAAUACCGUAUAACACUAUUUUCCGCAUGGAAGAAAGUUGAAAGGCGCUUUUGCGUCACUGAUGGAUGGACCCGCGGUGCAUUAGCUAGUUGGUGAGGUAACGGCUCACCAAGGCAACGAUGCAUAGCCGACCUGAGAGGGUGAUCGGCCACACUGGGACUGAGACACGGCCCAGACUCCUACGGGAGGCAGCAGUAGGGAAUCUUCGGCAAUGGACGAAAGUCUGACCGAGCAACGCCGCGUGAGUGAAGAAGGUUUUCGGAUCGUAAAACUCUGUUGUUAGAGAAGAACAAGGAUGAGAGUAAAAUGUUCAUCCCUUGACGGUAUCUAACCAGAAAGCCACGGCUAACUACGUGCCAGCAGCCGCGGUAAUACGUAGGUGGCAAGCGUUGUCCGGAUUUAUUGGGCGUAAAGCGAGCGCAGGCGGUUUCUUAAGUCUGAUGUGAAAGCCCCCGGCUCAACCGGGGAGGGUCAUUGGAAACUGGGAGACUUGAGUGCAGAAGAGGAGAGUGGAAUUCCAUGUGUAGCGGUGAAAUGCGUAGAUAUAUGGAGGAACACCAGUGGCGAAGGCGGCUCUCUGGUCUGUAACUGACGCUGAGGCUCGAAAGCGUGGGGAGCGAACAGGAUUAGAUACCCUGGUAGUCCACGCCGUAAACGAUGAGUGCUAAGUGUUGGAGGGUUUCCGCCCUUCAGUGCUGCAGCAAACGCAUUAAGCACUCCGCCUGGGGAGUACGACCGCAAGGU